GAUGAGUUGGAAACAUUAGAGUCAUAUCAGGAGCCAGAUCAUGAGAUUGAGAGAGAAUAUGUGCCCAAUUUUGAUAAGGAAGUUCAAGUGAUUAAGGUUGAAGUUGAAGAGCCUAUGAGCCAUGUACUUAGAAAAAAAUGGAAAGCCUACAAGACUUUGUAGGUCAUAUUGAGUCAAGCAAGAAUGGGCCUAAAAAAUGGGAGAAUUUUUAUGUACCUUGAUGGACAAUCUCCUAUGUCGUCUAGCUUGGACGUUAAACUCAGCGCAUCUUGGGAGGAAAUCAAGCAAUUGGAUGAGAACAAGCAAUUUUGGAAGAUUAAUGACCAAAAUACCCCAAAGAAGGUCAAGGUUUUGACCUAGGGCAUUGAUCAAUGGAGAAAAAAGAAAGAAAAAUCAUAAAUUAAAGGCAGGACAGCGUUGAACAAGCAUUGCAACGCUGCCCCGUGACAUUGCAAGGUAGAGAGCUCAUGGAAAUAGGGCAGUGUCGCAACAUUGCAGUAGCGUUGUGAUGCUACAACCAGUGAUGUGUUCUACGGAUGAAAUUAUCGUUAGCAUUACAACGCUACAUCAGAGCGUUGCAACACUGCGACUACUUUCUACAUAAGCAGUUUAUGGCUGAACAGAUUUUGGGAGGCAUUUUUAGGGCUAUAUUUAGAGCGUAAAGCAAUAUUUCGAUGAGGCCUCCCUAGGAAGUGUAAUUCUGGACAGAGGCGGCAUCUCGGAGAUUCAAAGGAUCGAAGAUUUGAAGAGCUCGUUGGGUUGCGAUUUCGGAUUCGAAGACGAGAGUCAAGAACACGACUUG
Molecule: long non-coding RNA, 802 nt
Organism: Benincasa hispida (wax gourd)
Lineage: Eukaryota; Viridiplantae; Streptophyta; Magnoliopsida; Cucurbitales; Cucurbitaceae
Source: RefSeq, a predicted model, not a curated record